CUGACAUAACCUGGGUGUCCGCCGUAGAGAUUACGGCGGAAGAAUAGGGAAGAGGGUGCAAGUCCCUCGCUGCCCCGCAACUGUGAACGGUGACGAACGCCGCUAGUACCCAGUACCCCAUAAUACUUAUCGUAUUCUG
This 139-nucleotide non-coding RNA is filed under the name Geothermobacter sp. The record is from RNAcentral. Lineage: Bacteria; Pseudomonadati; Thermodesulfobacteriota; Desulfuromonadia; Desulfuromonadales; Geothermobacteraceae.